This 484-nucleotide ribosomal RNA is filed under the name uncultured bacterium. RNAcentral describes it as "partial 16S ribosomal RNA". It matches the Rfam family "Bacterial small subunit ribosomal RNA", at positions 30 to 507 of the family's 1533-position model. The record is from RNAcentral.
AUUGAACGCUGGCGGCAGGCCUAACACAUGCAAGUCGAGCGGAUGAAGGGAGCUUGCUCCUGGAUUCAGCGGCGGACGGGUGAGUAAUGCCUAGGAAUCUGCCUGGUAGUGGGGGAUAACGUCCGGAAACGGGCGCUAAUACCGCAUACGUCCUGAGGGAGAAAGUGGGGGAUCUUCGGACCUCACGCUAUCAGAUGAGCCUAGGUCGGAUUAGCUAGUUGGUGGGGUAAAGGCCUACCAAGGCGACGAUCCGUAACUGGUCUGAGAGGAUGAUCAGUCACACUGGAACUGAGACACGGUCCCGACUCCUACGGGAGGCAGCAGUGGGGAAUAUUGGACAAUGGGCGAAAGCCUGAUCCAGCCAUGCCGCGUGUGUGAAGAAGGUCUUCGGAUUGUAAAGCACUUUAAGUUGGGAGGAAGGGCAGUAAGUUAAUACCUUGCUGUUUUGACGUUACCAACAGAAUAAGCACCGGCUAACUUCGUG